Molecule: ribosomal RNA, 460 nt
Filed under: uncultured bacterium
Lineage: Bacteria
Description: partial 16S ribosomal RNA
Rfam family: Bacterial small subunit ribosomal RNA
Source: RNAcentral
CCUACGGGUGGCAGCAGUGAGGAAUAUUGGUCAAUGGGCGCGAGCCUGAACCAGCCAAGUCGCGUGAGGGAUGAAGGUUCUAUGGAUCGUAAACCUCUUUUAUAAGGGAAUAAAGUGUGGGACGUGUCCUAUCUUGUAUGUACCUUAUGAAUAAGGACAGGCUAACUCCGUGCCAGCUGCGGCGGUAAUACGGAGGAUCCGAGCGUUAUCCGGAUGUCUUGGGUUGAAAGGGUGCGUAGGCGGACUUUCAAGUCAGCGGUGAAAGUUUGUGGCUCAACCAUAGAAUUGCCGUUGAAACUGGUGGGCUUGAGUAUAUUAGAGGCAGGCGGAAUGCGUGGUGUAGCGGUGAAAUGCUUAGAUAUCACGAAGAACCCCGAUGGCGAAGGCAGCCUGCCAAGCCAUGACUGACGCUGAUGCACGAAAGCGUGGGGAUCAAACAGGAUUAGAUACCCCAGUAGUC